CUUCGAUUUUUGAGAAAGUAAUCCUGUUGGGAGUCUACCUCCGAGAUUCGGAGAGUGGUUCCUCUUCGAUUUUUGAGCAAGCAAUCUCGUUGGGAGUGUUUUCUCGAAUGUGAGUAAAGGUUGGGCAUUUUUGCCAGUCUGCCUUGCCAUGGAGCAUGGAGGUUGACACACAUUGGGACUUUCUAGUUAUCAAGCAGUGGUGUUGUUCCUUUACCAUUAUGGGUAAUAGUAGGGUAGCUGGACCUUCAAAAUUUAUAAGUCUAAACUUUGUCAAAGAUCUUUGGCAAAGUUAUCUGCGGUACCCUAGGAGCUGAUGUUGCGUGUGGAAAGUGGUGCCUCUUUGAAAUCCAGAGAGUGGUGCCUCUUCGGAAUCCGGAGAGUGUUGCCUCUUCGAUUUUUGAAUCAACAGCCCUACUGCCCUUUCUAUUAUAAGGGCACCAAUUGUGUGCAAGGAGUACAUUUAGAGAGUAAUUGCUUGUAGGAAUUUU
Molecule: long non-coding RNA, 488 nt
Filed under: Malus domestica (apple)
Lineage: Eukaryota; Viridiplantae; Streptophyta; Magnoliopsida; Rosales; Rosaceae
Description: long non-coding RNA (MDOM_LNC012547)
Source: RNAcentral